AACAGUGUGCAACGUGCUCAAGUUGACACUUCAGAAAUGGAUUGUGCGUUGGGUCAUAUGGUGAGGGGUAAAUGCCAUUUCCCAGACACGACUGUAACCACUCACUGAGGAGGAAUGAGCACCAGGCACUUUGAAGUCUGAGGGAACCACAGAAAAGGUAUCUGUUUAGAUGGGCUGAGGGUGUUCCAGUCUAUAAAUGAUGCAGAGGGAUAUAACUACCACGAUGAAAAAUGAGGCUGAAAGGAGGAGCGGCAGUGGUCAAUAAUGCAAAUUUCACCCCUACAAUCAUUCCAUGGCUGCAAGCAUAUCUUGAUUUCUCCAAGUGAGACUAAGCUACAAACCAAUGGACUUGCUUCACUGCAACAGUGGAAAGAACAGCUGGAGAGGUGCCUGUGGCAUCAAAAGCAAAAAUUUUACAAGGGGGCUUUGCAGUCAGAUGGAUUGGGUGAGACUCCCCCAAACCACCGUACUGAUGAAUUCUUAUCACCCAGAGUUUUGCUGUGUGCAGUGCAGAAGGAGACCUCUUGGGGUCUGCACCAUGGUGAUGUGACUCUGUAUGUUCCUUCCUGA
RNAcentral lists this long non-coding RNA (570 nucleotides) under Anser cygnoides (Swan goose). RNAcentral describes it as "lncRNA (ENSACDG00005004328.1)". Lineage: Eukaryota; Metazoa; Chordata; Aves; Anseriformes; Anatidae. The record is from RNAcentral.